UACAGAGGGUGCAAGCGUUAAUCGGAAUUACUGGGCGUAAAGAGCACGUAGGUGGUUAAUUAAGUUGGAUGUGAAAUCCCCGGGCUUAACCUGGGAGUGUCAUUCAAAACUGGUUAACUUGAGUACGGUAGAGGGAAGUGGAAUUUCCGGUGUAGCGGUGAAAUGCAUAGAUAUCGGAAGGAACAUCAGUGGCGAAGGCGACUUCCUGGACUGAUACUGACACUGAGGUGCGAAAGCGUGGGGAGCAAACAGG
This 253-nucleotide ribosomal RNA is filed under the name uncultured bacterium. RNAcentral's name for it is "partial 16S ribosomal RNA". It matches the Rfam family "Bacterial small subunit ribosomal RNA", at positions 524 to 776 of the family's 1533-position model. The record is from RNAcentral.